UACGGAGGAUGCAAGCGUUUUCCGGAUUUAUUGGGUUUAAAGGGUGCGUAGGCGGCCUAUUAAGUUAGUGGUGAAAACGUUCGGCUUAACCGGAUACCCGCCAUUGAUACUGAUAGACUUGAGUGCGACAGAGGGUGUUGGAAUGUGUGGUGUAGCGGUGAAAUGCUUAGAUAUCACGCAGAACACCAAUUGCGAAGGCAGAUGCCUAUGUCGUAACUGACGCUGAGGCACGAAAGCGAGGGGAGCAAACAGG
This 253-nucleotide ribosomal RNA is filed under the name uncultured bacterium. RNAcentral describes it as "partial 16S ribosomal RNA". It matches the Rfam family "Bacterial small subunit ribosomal RNA", at positions 524 to 776 of the family's 1533-position model. The record is from RNAcentral.